UACGUAGGGGGCAAGCGUUGUCCGGAUUUAUUGGGCGUAAAGGGCGCGUAGGCGGCCAUUCAAGUGACGGGUGAAAGCCCUCGGCUUAACCGAGGAACUGCCUGUCAGACUGGAUGGCUUGAGACCGGGAGAGGUGAGUGGAAUUCCCAGUGUAGCGGUGAAAUGCGUAGAUAUUGGGAGGAACACCAGUGGCGAAGGCGGCUCACUGGACCGGAACUGACGCUGAGGCGCGAAAGCGUGGGGA
RNAcentral lists this ribosomal RNA (244 nucleotides) under uncultured bacterium. RNAcentral describes it as "partial 16S ribosomal RNA". It matches the Rfam family "Bacterial small subunit ribosomal RNA", at positions 524 to 767 of the family's 1533-position model. The record is from RNAcentral.